CCUACGGGGGGCAGCAGUGAGGAAUAUUGGUCAAUGGCCGGAAGGCUGAACCAGCCAUGCCGCGUGAAGGUCAGUGCCCUAUGGGCGUUAAACUUCUUUUGUGCGGGAGCAAUAAUGGUCACGUGUGGCCAGACGAGAGUACCGUACGAAUAAGCAUCGGCUAACUCCGUGCCAGCAGCCGCGGUAAUACGGGGGAUGCCAGCGUUAUCCGGAUUUAUUGGGUUUAAAGGGUGCGUAGGCUGUGAGGUAAGUCAGCGGUGAAAUGCCCCCGCUCAACGGGGUGAAGUGCCAUUGAUACUGCCUGGCUGGAAUGCGGAUGCCGUGGGAGGAAUGUGUGGUGUAGCGGUGAAAUGCAUAGAUAUCACACAGAACACCGAUUGCGAAGGCAUCUCACGAAGCCGCGAUUGACGCUGAUGCACGAAAGCGUGGGUAUCAAACAGGAUUAGAUACCCCGGUAGUC
This 460-nucleotide ribosomal RNA is filed under the name uncultured bacterium. RNAcentral's name for it is "partial 16S ribosomal RNA". It matches the Rfam family "Bacterial small subunit ribosomal RNA", at positions 338 to 795 of the family's 1533-position model. The record is from RNAcentral.